AUUGAACGCUGGCGGCAGGCCUAACACAUGCAAGUCGAGCGGAUGAAGGGAGCUUGCUCCUGGAUUCAGCGGCGGACGGGUGAGUAAUGCCUAGGAAUCUGCCUGGUAGUGGGGGAUAACGUCCGGAAACGGGCGCUAAUACCGCAUACGUCCUGAGGGAGAAAGUGGGGGAUCUUCGGACCUCACGCUGUCAGAUGAGCCUAGGUCGGAUUAGCUAGUUGGUGGGGUAAAGGCCUACCAAGGCGACGAUCCGUAACUGGUCUGAGAGGAUGAUCAGUCACACUGGAACUGAGACACGGUCCAGACUCCUACGGGAGGCAGCAGUGGGGAAUAUUGGACAAUGGGCGAAAGCCUGAUCCAGCCAUGCCGCGUGUGUGAAGAAGGUCUUCGGAUUGUAAAGCACUUUAGGUUGGGAGGAAGGGCAGUAAGUUAAUACCUUGCUGUUUUGACGUUACCAACAGAAUAAGCACCGGCUAACUUCGUG
RNAcentral lists this ribosomal RNA (484 nucleotides) under uncultured bacterium. Its description in RNAcentral is "partial 16S ribosomal RNA". It matches the Rfam family "Bacterial small subunit ribosomal RNA", at positions 30 to 507 of the family's 1533-position model. The record is from RNAcentral.